AGAUCAUUUAAGCACUAUCACUGCUAUCACCAGAGAGAUUGGAAAAGGUACGUAGAAGAGUUCAUAGACUGGGUAGAUACAUGUGGGAAGUGGGGAGAGGGAAAGAGGGUGUGUGUGGAGGGGUACCUCUGACACUGGGAAUUACAUGACAGAAAGUUGGGUACCAACGAGUGUCCUGAGAUCUUCCUAAGAUUUCAGAAGCCAGGGAACCAAGGUUUGUCUUCCCUCAACAUGUUGAUUUUCUCUGGCUCCCAUCCCCAACUUAUGGAGUCAGGGAAAAUAACCUCAUUCCCAGUUGGAGGCUGCUGUCUUAGCUUCCUACUUAAUGUGUGAAGGAGAAGAAAAUUGUAAGUCCUGCUGGGUUAGGCAUGAAAGAGUUGUAGCACAGACAUGGAUUCCCACAGUGACAAUGUAAGACUAGAACAAACACCAGACGGUCUUCAAUAACUAUUUUAAUUCUUGCCUCUUUAACCUUCAUCUGUGAAAUACCAAGCAGUUGAACUUUUGGAACCAGUCAUUUCUGUUCUUUGAGAAAGUAGAGAUUGUUGACUGUACAGUGUAUAUCCAAAUAUUGCUCUCAUUCUCUAUCCCAUUGGUCGCUGGGCUAGGAAAUAUUCAGAGGAGUUAUGUGAGUUAAAAGGGACAUUGUAGAACAUCAGUUUACUCAGGAGGUUUUUAGCUGUGCUUGGAGAAUUCCUAAUGAUCUGACUAAAUAUCUCAUGAACUAUUAACCAAGGAACUAGGGUAUGUCCUGGAGGGGUUGGAGAGAGGUAAGGUAAGGUUGAGUGGAGGGGGCUUAGAGACCACAUCUUCCAACUGAGCACUCAUAUAUUUUAUAUACCUACAUUUAUAUCUAUAUAUAAACAUGCUUGUGUACAUGCAUAUUUGUUUUUAUUUAUUUAUUUAUUUGUGAUACUCAGAAUUGAACCCAGGGACACUCAACCACUGAGCUAUAUCCCUAGCCCUUUUUCAUAAAUAUAUAUAUAUAUAUAUAUAUAUAUAUAUAUUAGAAUCUCAAUAAGUUGUCUAGAAUGACUUUUUACAGUAUUAGGGAUUGAACCCAGGGAUAUUCUACCACUAAGCCACAUACCCAGACUUUUUUCUUUCUUUCUUUUUUUUUGAGAUAACUUCUCCCUAAGUUCCAAAACUGCCCUCUAACUUGUGAUACUCCUGCCUCAGCCUCCUGAAUCAAUGGGAGUACAGGUGUGCACCAUGCACAGUCUGGCUUUGAAUUUGCAAUCUUCCUGCCUCAGCUUCCCAAAGUCAUGAGGAUUAUAAGUGUGCCCCACCACAGCCAACUACAUAGAUAUUUGAAGUUUAUAUUUGUAUAUACAUACAUACAUAUUUUAUACAUAUACACAUAUUCCUCGUAAGGUCUCACUUGUUAAAAAUAUUCUACAAUGGGGGAAAAUCCUCAAAAAUGUUGGUCUAAUAAAACUCAAUAAUUUUCUACAUGAGAAGCUGAGAAAUGGAAAGUGAUUUAUCCAAGGUUACAAAAUAAGUGGUAGAGGACUGGGGAUACAGCUCAGUUGGUAGAGUGCUUGCCUCAUAUGCAAUCCUCCAGAGAGAGAGGGAGAGGGAGAGGGAGAGGGAGAGGGAGAGGGAGAGAGAGAGAGAGAGAGAGAGAGAGAGAGAGAGAGAGAGAGAGAGAAAUGGUAGAAUGUUAACUCAGAACCAGGAUGUUCUUCAGCAUCUGUUUGAACUCUUUAUUUACAUUUCAUCUUCUUUCCGUUCUGUUAGAACAUUCAUUCAUCUAAUUAUACAUUCAUCAAACAGGUGUCAAGUAUCAGGGAUACUAAAAUAAAUAACACAUAGUUGCUACUUUCCAGUGUCUAAAAAUGGAAUGAAACAUAGAAACAAUAAUUGCAAUGCUGGAUGCUAAGCACAAAAAGGGCAAGUGAAAAUAACACCUAACAUUUAUUGUACACUUGCUAUCUCCAAGGUGCCAAGCUAAAUAUGUUUUAAGUAUUAACUCAGUUAAACCUAAGAACAAUCUCUGUUAGAUGUGGCCAUUAUCCCCAUUUUAUAAAAGAGGAAACUGAGAUCCUUAUGGGAAGGGGGGAUUAGGUUUCUUUUCCCAGGGUCGCACAGUAAGUAUAUUGUGGUAGUAUAGACUACAGGUACUAUGAGAAUAUAGCACAGGAAAUUGUUACUUAUUUAGCUGAAUUUAAAACUUUCAGAGACAUGUAACAUUGAUGCUAAGUCUAGAAGAAUGAAAGGAAAGAGGAAAGGGUGUUCAGGUAAAGGGAGUGUCAUGAGCAAGAAAGAUCACUUGUUAUUGGGAAUGAAUAUUGAGUUGCUGUGGCUGAUAGAAGCAUGCAAGAAUAGAAAAGUAGGUGAGAGCCUGAUUGUGAGGGUAAGAAUGUCUGGCUUAAGAUUUUGAGCUUUACUUUGUUGGUCAAUUGAGGAGCAUCACAAGUUUGUUUGUUAGGAACUAAUACAAUCAAGUAUUUUGCUUUUAAAGACCUAAGUGACAUUACUCUUAGUACUACCCACAUAGGUGAAAGAUUGGAUAGCAUAGUGGCAUUCUGUUGUCAUAUUCUAAUGGUCAAAAUGAACAUUGAUAAACUAGAUUAUUGAGUUGGUCUUCUUUCUGGAGUUUCCUCUAUUGCCCCUAAUUUUACACUCAGGAACCAUGCAGAUCAAGUCUAAUCUUUUUUUUAUCUAAAAGGAAAUGUAUUAAGGACUUCCCAAUCUCAGUCUUACCUCUUUGCCUGAAUGGACUAUGGUCUCAGUGAUUCUAAAGGACCCUUCCAGCUGUGACAUCUUGUAUCUGUGAUUCUUUGUAACCUUCGAAUCUGUCUUUAUCAGCUAGUAUUCCGAAGGAUAGGGACAGGUGUGCUGACCUAUUUGGACUUGUUUCUCCAAGAGAUGACAACCAAAGGUGACCCUUUAGAGUACUCCCCAUCCUUGGGUACCCAUUUUCUCUUCCUCCAUUUCAGCAGUGAGCCUAAAAGAUAUUGGAGAAGGCAAUGUGAGGAUGCUGGGCAUGCAGAUACCCAUAAAGGAUGUCGAGAUACUGGCUUCUGUUUCGAUUAUCAUGGGCAUCAUCCUCCUGCUUGCUACUCUGGCUCUUGGUGGUGUGGUCUGGUACCAGCAUCGACAAAGAAAGCUACGCCGCAACAGGAGGUCCAUCCUGGAUGAUAGCUUCAAGCUUCUGUCUCUCAAACAGUAAUAAUUGGAGCCUGGGGAUAUCCUCAGGAAGAACAUCUGGUUUGUACUCCCAGAACCUCAGGAGGCCAUGGACUAACAGCUAACUGUACUGUCAAAUGGGCAUGGGUGGUGAAGGAGGAGAGGAGGAGAUCAAAAUUACCUGCAUAUUUCUUCAUUUAUUUAUUCACAUGGAAAUGAUAUGCACUCAACUUUUUUGAGUUUCUUUUCUAUACUUUGGCACCCAGGACUAGGUAAGUCCCCUCGAAUCUUACAGCAUAAAUUGCAACAACUAAUCAACCUCCAACCUUUGGAAGGCCUGGAAAUUCCUAAAAAGUAAUCCUCUUCAGAAAGUAGAUAUCAAAAGAAAAACUCAUCAAUUGGGUUUCUGUUGCUUUCUACGAUGCAGGCAAGUUCACUUUGAACUGAGCUAAGUGAGCUAUGAAGAAAACCCACAAUUAAACUAAGAACUAAGAAACAUAGGCAUGAUGGGGAAUUGGAGGUAGGGUGGUAGGGAUUGGGGAUCCAAAUUAUAUUUUUAUUCUCCUUGGCAGUGGACUAUUUUGGAGAAAUGAGUGGAUGGUUGGUUAUUGCCAUGAUUACCAAGAACUGCUGGAGUCAGACGCACCUUAGAAAGCCAGUCCUUCAAGUUUCUACACAGUGGAACUGAAAGGAAUAUUCAGGGGCUUCUUUGUGUUUUAGGCCACACAUUAUGUCCAUUAAAGUACUUGUUAGAACACUAACAGAUUGAAUUUGAUUGUUUUGAUGUUCCCUGUGGAUUCUGGGAGGCAACUGGGGAGGUAUAGAAUGGGUCUGUCCAUCUUAUGUGGAUCCUAUAAGUUUGUAUUUUGGAAGCUGCUCCAGAAGAAGCCUCAAGUCAGAAUGUUGGGCAACAUUCUAGAAAU
RNAcentral lists this long non-coding RNA (4055 nucleotides) under Marmota monax (woodchuck). The record is from RNAcentral. Lineage: Eukaryota; Metazoa; Chordata; Mammalia; Rodentia; Sciuridae.